RNAcentral lists this ribosomal RNA (549 nucleotides) under uncultured Glomeromycotina. RNAcentral describes it as "SSU rRNA". It matches the Rfam family "Eukaryotic small subunit ribosomal RNA", at positions 548 to 1098 of the family's 1831-position model. Lineage: Eukaryota; Fungi; Glomeromycota. The record is from RNAcentral.
UUGGAGGGCAAGUCUGGUGCCAGCAGCCGCGGCAAUUCCAGCUCCAAUAGCGUAUAUUAAAGUUGUUGCAGUUAAAAAGCUCGUAGUUGAAUUUCGGGGUUAGUAGGUUGGUCAUGCCUCUGGUAUGCACUGGUCUCACUGAUUCCUCCUUCCUGAUGAGCCGUAAUGCCAUUAAUUUGGUGUUGCGGGGAAUUUGGACUGUUACUUUGAAAAAAUUAGAGUGUUUAAAGCAAGCUAACGCUUGAAUACAUUAGCAUGGAAUAAUGAAAUAGGACGUUCGAUCCUAUUUUGUUGGUUUCCAGGAUUGACGUAAUGAUUAAUAGGGAUAGUUGGGGGCAUUAGUAUUCAAUUGUCAGAGGUGAAAUUCUUGGAUUUAUUGAAGACUAACUACUGCGAAAGCAUUUGCCAAGGAUGUUUUCAUUAAUCAAGAACGAAAGUUAGGGGAUCGAAGACGAUCAGAUACCGUCGUAGUCUUAACCAUAAACUAUGCCGACUAGGGAUCGGAUGAUGUUAAUUUUUUAAUGACUCAUUCGGCGCCUUACGGGAAAC